RNAcentral lists this unclassified non-coding RNA (354 nucleotides) under soil metagenome. RNAcentral's name for it is "partial contains 5.8S ribosomal RNA, internal transcribed spacer 2, and large subunit ribosomal RNA". The stretch from base 1 to 120 matches the Rfam family "5.8S ribosomal RNA", at positions 35 to 154 of the family's 154-position model. The record is from RNAcentral.
GAUGAAGAACGUAGCGAAAUGCGAUAAGUAAUGUGAAUUGCAGAAUUCCGUGAAUCAUCGAAUCUUUGAACGCACAUUGCGCCCCCUGGCAUUCCGGGGGGCAUGCCUGUCCGAGCGUCAUUUCUGCCCUCCAGCCCGGCUGGGUGUUGGGCGCUGUCCCCCCGGGGACACGCCCCAAAGGCAGUGGCGGCGCCGCGUCGGGUCCUCGAGCGUAUGGGGCUUAGUCACCCGCUCGGGACGGACUCGUCGGCGCUGGUCUUCCUCCAGGCGACCCUUCGGGGCUCGUCUUCCUUCGGUUGACCUCGGAUCAGGUAGGGUUACCCGCUGAACUUAAGCAUAUCAAUAAGCGGAGGA